ACACAGAAGUGCAGGUUAAAAACUAUGAGAAGUUCUUAGAGGAAUAUACCGCUCAGCUCCAGGGUAUUGAAGAAGCAUUGGACGACUCUGUCGGAGAUGUAUGGGACUUCACUCUGGACCCUAUCGCUUUGAAGCUCCUGCCGUAUGAACAGUCCUCACUGUUGGAGCUCAUCAAGACAGAUAAUAAGGUGCUUAAUAAAGUUAUCACAGUGUAUGCAGCUCUUUGCUGUGAAGUUAAAAAGCUGAAAUAUGAGGUAAGUGAAA
Sinocyclocheilus rhinocerous is the source of this 264-nucleotide long non-coding RNA. RefSeq lists it as uncharacterized. The transcript is spliced from 3 exons. NCBI's taxonomy places the organism in Eukaryota, Metazoa, Chordata, Actinopteri, Cypriniformes, Cyprinidae. The record is from RefSeq and is a predicted model, not a curated record.